UUCACUUCAGUGUCAUAUAUCCUAAAACAAAUGAUACAAAGAAGAUGAGCAUGGCUCCUUUGCAAGAAUGACACCAAAAUUCAUAAAGCAUUCUAUUUUUUU
Molecule: small nuclear RNA, 102 nt
Filed under: Castor canadensis (American beaver)
Lineage: Eukaryota; Metazoa; Chordata; Mammalia; Rodentia; Castoridae
Source: RNAcentral